ACUGCAAACCGCUCUGCCGCCUUUGCCCUUCUAUGGGCGGGGAGGAAAGUCCGGACAACACAGAGCACCGCACCACCUAACGGGUGGGGUCUUGACAACGGUCGAGACACAGAGAGGGUCACAGAAAAUAACCGCCGCGGGUCAUAGGCCCGAGGUAAGGGUGAAAACGUGCGGUAAGAGCGCACGGCGCUCCGGCGCAAGUCGGAGGGCGGAUAAACCUUGCGGGUUGAAAUGCCAAGUACACCUUGCGCUCCGCCUCGGCGGAGGGUGUGUGGCUCGCACACUGGCGCUCACCCGCCAGCAAGGGGGGUAGGCAGCGCAGAGCCGCGCCGCGAGGCGUCGGCCCAGAUAAAUGGCAGAGACCCGGAAACGGGAACAGAAUCCGGCUUACAGGUUUGCAGUGCUC
This 406-nucleotide RNase P RNA is filed under the name Bacteroidota bacterium. RNAcentral's name for it is "Bacteroidetes bacterium (sediment metagenome) RNase P RNA component class A". It matches the Rfam family "Bacterial RNase P class A". From Rfam's summary of the family: Ribonuclease P (RNase P) is a ubiquitous endoribonuclease, found in archaea, bacteria and eukarya as well as chloroplasts and mitochondria. The record is from RNAcentral. Lineage: Bacteria; Pseudomonadati; Bacteroidota.